UAAGUCAGCCACGAAUAGGCUAUCCCAACUAACGGCGGGAAAGACUCCACGGAGGGUGUAAGACCCGUGUGGGCGCGUGUUAAAGCUGUGCGGGCUCGGCCUCUUUUCCCUGAGAGUCGCGUUGCUUGAGAUUGCAGCGCUAAGCAGGUCGUAAACUCGAUCUAAGGCUAAAUAUCUCCACAGAACCGAUAGCGAACAAGUACCGUGAGGGAAAGUUGAAAAGCACUCUGGAGAGAGAGUCAAAAGACCGUGAAACCGCUCAGAGUAUAAGCCCAUGGCAGCUUGGAAGGCAUAUCGAAAGCGGGGCAUCGGUCUGCCUUCGCGGGGAGCCGGUGUUACCUUGAUUCUGUUGUGGCUCGUCAAGGUAGGGGGGUCAGGUCCACAUCCCGCCAUCGUGUGGGGGGUUCUUGGGUGUGUUGUGGUUUGUCGGUUGGCUUCGGCCUUCAGGCGGGCUCUUCGUGCUCGGUUCCUCUUUAGACACGGACGUUCAGACUCAGAUUCAAGACGCGAUAAACAGCCCACCACGGCACGUUGUGAGGUCACCCACAGGCUCGACUUUCGAUUGUGAGCCUUGACGCUGAGCUAGCACUAUGCGUGUCGCUGAGGUUCCUAACCAGGCAACUGUGCCAGGAUCGUGGAACGACACGCGCUCAACAGUCAGGCUCGGGCGGAGACAGAGUUCUGGUAUGAUCCUCUUGCGACGAGCCGCCUUCUGGCCUACAUCCGAUGCUCAGGUCUCCCGCAUGUGCCGCGGGAGAUCGCCUUGACGGUCUGGA
This 776-nucleotide ribosomal RNA is filed under the name Gammarus balcanicus. RNAcentral's name for it is "eukaryotic LSU rRNA". It matches the Rfam family "Eukaryotic large subunit ribosomal RNA", at positions 157 to 634 of the family's 3401-position model. Lineage: Eukaryota; Metazoa; Arthropoda; Malacostraca; Amphipoda; Gammaridae. The record is from RNAcentral.